Molecule: ribosomal RNA, 254 nt
Filed under: uncultured bacterium
Lineage: Bacteria
Description: partial 16S ribosomal RNA
Rfam family: Bacterial small subunit ribosomal RNA
Source: RNAcentral
UACGGGGGGAGCAAGCGUUGUUCGGAUUUACUGGGCGUAAAGGGCGCGUAGGCGGUCAGCACAAGUCAGUUGUGAAAUCUCCGGGCUUAACUCGGAAAGGUCAACUGAUACUGUGCGACUAGAGUGCAGAAGGGGCAACUGGAAUUCUCGGUGUAGCGGUGAAAUGCGUAGAUAUCGUUUGGAACGCCAACGGUGAAAACAGACAGCUGGGAGUGUGCUGACGCUGAGACACGAAAGCCAGGGGAGCGAACGGG